UUUGGACAAUGGGGCAACCUGAUCCAGCAUGCCGCUUGAGUGAAGAAGGCCUUCGGGUUGUAAAGCUCUUUUGUCAGGGAAGAAACGGUGAUUCUUAAUACGGAUGCUAAUGACGGUACUGAAGAAUAAGCACCGGCUAACUACGUGCCAGCAGCCGCGGUAAUACGUAGGGUGCAAGCGUUAAUCGGAAUUACUGGGCGUAAAGCGUGCGCAGGCGGUUAUGUAAGUCAGAUGUGAAAUCCCCGGGCUCAACCUGGGAAUGGCAUUUGAGACUGCAUGGCUAGAGUGUGUCAGAGGGGGGUAGAAUUCCACGUGUAGCAGUGAAAUGCGUAGAUAUGUGGAGGAAUACCGAUGGCGAAGGCAGCCCCCUGGGAUAACACUGACGCUCAUGCACGAAAGCGUAGGGAGCAAACAGGAUUAGAUACCCUGGUAGUCCACGCCCUAAACGAUGUCUACUAGUUGUCGGGUCUUAAUUGACUUGGUAACGCAGCUAACGCGUGAAGUAGACCGCCUGGGGAGUACGGUCGCAAGAUUAAAACUCAAAGGAAUUGACGGGGACCCGCACAAGCGGUGGAUGAUGUGGAUUAAUUCGAUGCAACGCGAAAAGCCUUACCUACCCUUGACAUGUACGGAAGCCACGAGAGAUCGAGGUGUGCUCGAAAGAGAACCGUAACACAGGUGCUGCAUGGCUGUCGUCAGCUCGUGUCGUGAGAUGUUGGGUUAAGUCCCGCAACGAGCGCAACCCUUGUCAUUAGUUGCUACGAAAGGGCACUCUAAUGAGACUGCCGGUGACAAACCGGAGGAAGGUGGGGAUGACGUCAAGUCCUCAUGGCCCUUAUGGGUAGGGCUUCACACGUCAUACAAUGGUACAUACAGAGGGCCGCCAACCCGCGAGGGGGAGCUAAUCCCAGAAAGUGUAUCGUAGUCCGGAUUGUAGUCUGCAACUCGACUACAUGAAGUUGGAAUCGCUAGUAAUCGCGGAUCAGCAUGUCGCGGUGAAUACGUUCCCGGGUCUUGUACACACCGCCCGUCACACCAUGGGAGCGGGUUUCACCAGAAGUAGGUAGCUUAACCGCAAGGAGGGCGCUUACCACGGUGGGAUUCGUGACUGGGGUG
Molecule: ribosomal RNA, 1116 nt
Filed under: uncultured bacterium
Lineage: Bacteria
Description: bacterial SSU rRNA
Rfam family: Bacterial small subunit ribosomal RNA
Source: RNAcentral